GACGAACGCUGGCGGCGUGCCUAAUACAUGCAAGUCGAGCGAUGAAGCUUGGUGCUUGCACCAAUUUGAAGAGCAGCGAACGGGUGAGUAACGCGUGGGGAAUCUGCCUUUGAGCGGGGGACAACAUUUGGAAACGAAUGCUAAUACCGCAUAACAACUUUAAACAUAAGUUUUAAGUUUGAAAGAUGCAAUUGCAUCACUCAAAGAUGAUCCCGCGUUGUAUUAGCUAGUUGGUGAGGUAAAGGCUCACCAAGGCGAUGAUACAUAGCCGACCUGAGAGGGUGGUCGGCCACAUUGGGACGGAGACACGGCCCAAACUCCCACGGGGGGCAGCAGUAGGGAAUCUUCGGCAAUGGACGAAAGUCUGACCGAGCAACGCCGCGUGAGUGAAGAAGGUUUUCGGGUCGGAAAACUCUGUUGGUAGGGAAGAACGUGGGUGAGAGUGGAAAGCUCAUCAAGUGACGGUAACUACCCAGAAAGGGACGGCUAACUACGUG
Molecule: ribosomal RNA, 497 nt
Filed under: uncultured bacterium
Lineage: Bacteria
Description: partial 16S ribosomal RNA
Rfam family: Bacterial small subunit ribosomal RNA
Source: RNAcentral